CAGAUGGAACUGAGUCAGCUUCAGCCAUGACUCAAAGUGUGACCGAGUCAGAUCCAGUGACUAAGUCACAACCUGACGAGUCACCCAAGCAGCAGGUCAACGGAAGAGUGCAGAGAACUCGCUUUAUAUUUGUAAAGUCUGGCAGUGGCUGUAUUACCUCUACAAGAGUUAUUUCUGUUCUAUCCACCAUGGCCGCCCUCGUUUUCGUCGUGGUAGCAUGACUAUAUCAUGUGACUACCCAGGCGAGUCCUUGAACGAUCUGAAAAACGCAAGCAGAGGUUGUUGUGCACAGAAAUUAACUUACGACUGGCAAUGUCUUAUUUAUG
Liolophura sinensis is the source of this 326-nucleotide long non-coding RNA. RefSeq lists it as uncharacterized. The record is from RefSeq and is a predicted model, not a curated record. NCBI's taxonomy places the organism in Eukaryota, Metazoa, Mollusca, Polyplacophora, Chitonida, Chitonidae. The transcript is spliced from 3 exons.